GCUACGGGUGGCAGCAGUGAGGAAUAUUGCACAAUGGGCGAAAGCCUGAUGCAGCAACGCCGCGUGAGCGAUGAAGGCCUUCGGGUCGUACAGCUCUGUCCUCAAGGACGAUAAUGACGGUACUUGAGGACGAAGCCCCGGCUAACUACGUUCCAGCAGCCGCGGUAAUACGUAGGGGGCUAGCGUUAUCCGUAAUUACUGGGCGAAAAGGGUGCGUAGGGGGUUUCUAAAGUCAGAGGUGAAAGGCUACGGCUAAACCGUAGUAAGCCUUUGAAACUGGGGAACUUGAGUGCAGGAGAGGAGAGUGGAACUCCUAGUGUAGCGGUGAAAUGCGUAGAUAUUAGGAGGAACACCAGUGGCGAAGGCGGCUCUCUGGACUGUAACUGACACUGAGGCACGAAAGCGUGGGGAGCAAACAGGAUUAGAUACCCGAGUAGUC
Molecule: ribosomal RNA, 439 nt
Filed under: uncultured bacterium
Lineage: Bacteria
Description: partial 16S ribosomal RNA
Rfam family: Bacterial small subunit ribosomal RNA
Source: RNAcentral